This 845-nucleotide ribosomal RNA is filed under the name Neurospora retispora. Its description in RNAcentral is "partial large subunit ribosomal RNA". It matches the Rfam family "Eukaryotic large subunit ribosomal RNA", at positions 50 to 925 of the family's 3401-position model. The record is from RNAcentral. Lineage: Eukaryota; Fungi; Ascomycota; Sordariomycetes; Sordariales; Sordariaceae.
GGGAGGAAAAAGAAACCCCAACAGGGGAUUGCCUAGUAACGGCGAGUGAAGCGGCAACAGCUCAAAUUUGAAAUCUGGCUUCGGCCCGAGUUGUAAUUUGUAGAGGAAGCUUUUGGUGAGGCACCUUCUGAGUCCCCUGGAACGGGGCGCCAUAGAGGGUGAGAGCCCCGUAUAGUCGGAUGCCGAUCCAAUGUAAAGCUCCUUCGACGAGUCGAGUAGUUUGGGAAUGCUGCUCAAAAUGGGAGGUAAAUUUCUUCUAAAGCUAAAUACCGGCCAGAGACCGAUAGCGCACAAGUAGAGUGAUCGAAAGAUGAAAAGCACUUUGAAAAGAGGGUUAAAUAGCACGUGAAAUUGUUGAAAGGGAAGCGUUUGUGACCAGACUUGCGCCGUUCCGAUCAUCCGGUGUUCUCACCGGUGCACUCGGGACGGCACAGGCCAGCAUCGGUUUUGGCGGGGGGACAAAGGCCCUGGGAACGUAGCUCCUCCGGGAGUGUUAUAGCCCAGGGCGUAAUGCCCUCGCCGGGACCGAGGUUCGCGCAUCUGCAAGGAUGCUGGCGUAAUGGUCACCAACGACCCGUCUUGAAACACGGACCAAGGAGUCAAGGUUUUGCGCGAGUGUUUGGGUGUAAAACCCGCACGCGUAAUGAAAGUGAACGUAGGUGAGAGCUUCGGCGCAUCAUCGACCGAUCCUGAUGUAUUCGGAUGGAUUUGAGUAAGAGCGUUAAGCCUUGGACCCGAAAGAUGGUGAACUAUGCUUGGAUAGGGUGAAGCCAGAGGAAACUCUGGUGGAGGCUCGCAGCGGGUUCUGACGUGCAAAUCGAUCGUCAAAUCUGAGCAUGGAGGCG